This 374-nucleotide ribosomal RNA is filed under the name uncultured eukaryote. RNAcentral describes it as "partial 18S ribosomal RNA". It matches the Rfam family "Eukaryotic small subunit ribosomal RNA", at positions 592 to 976 of the family's 1831-position model. The record is from RNAcentral.
CAAGGGCGUAUGUAAAAGUUGUUGCAGUUAAAAAGCUCGUAGUUGAACCUUGGGUUUGGUUGGCCGGUCCGCUUUUUUGCGAGUACUGGAUUCAACCGAGCCUUUCCUUCUGGCUAACCAGUCGUUUCGGCGGCUGGCGAACCAGGAUUUUUACUUUGAGAAAAUUAGAGUGUUCAAAGCAGGCAUUAGCUUGAAUAUAUUAGCAUGGAAUAAUAGAAUAGGACGUUAUGGUUCUAUUUUGUUGGUUUCUAGGACCAUCGUAAUGAUUAAUAGGGACGGUCGGGGGCAUCAGUAUUCAGUUGUCAGAGGUGAAAUUCUUGGAUUUACUGAAGACUAACUACUGCGAAAGCAUUUGCCAAGGACGUUUUCAUUAA